UGAAUGGAACAGGAUGUUAUGGGGACCAAUCAUGUGAGGGCCAGCCCACUGAUGUGAACCAAUCCUGUGAGGGCCAGCCCACUGAUGUGAACCAACUCUGUGAGGGCCGGCCCUAUGACUUUAUAUUCCCCUAUUUCACUUCACUGAAGUUCACUCAACAAAAUGCUCAAAGUGCUGUCAUAUCUUACUUGACUGGGAAACCAGAUGGCCAACGGGAGUCGUCUUAUACGGUGCUCAUUGUCAUCAGGAGGUAAUUCAGGAGUCAAGUCAACUGACACGAGAUAGGACAGGAAUCGCAUCAGCUUUCUCCAUGGCAUCUAUAAGAAGGCACCUGCCUUGUUGCUUUCAGGUGCCGAUUUUCGAUGUUCCCACCCUCCCUCCCUAAUCACCACCAGGUCGGUCCUCGUCCAGUUGUCCAGGGGGUAGGCUUCGCCCCUGCUUCUCGUUCCGGCAGGAUUUGCCAGGGUCCGCACACUCAGUGACCUGGACCUAGGACGGGGCCUACGCCAAAGACUCUCAUUGUUGCUAAUUUCUAUUCUGAUUAAAAUCUUUGUUAACUUCA
Sardina pilchardus (European sardine) is the source of this 562-nucleotide long non-coding RNA. RefSeq lists it as uncharacterized. Lineage: Eukaryota; Metazoa; Chordata; Actinopteri; Clupeiformes; Clupeidae. The record is from RefSeq and is a predicted model, not a curated record. The transcript has 2 exons.